This is an RNA transcript of Cucurbita maxima (winter squash), 4155 nucleotides long. It is a transcript of the gene named elongation factor-like GTPase 1, with no coding region annotated. The record is from RefSeq and is a predicted model, not a curated record. The transcript has 5 exons. Lineage: Eukaryota; Viridiplantae; Streptophyta; Magnoliopsida; Cucurbitales; Cucurbitaceae.
UUCCUUUUUCAAAACCCCUAUUUCAAGCGCCCGUUCCUCCCUGGCCAUUGUACUGUUCGCCCGCCGUUCCUGCCCGACGCGGUCCCAGCCGCCGCCCCGUACGCUGCAAUCUCAGCCUUCGACGGACUCGCCGCUGCUCCCUCUCUCCCUCUUACACUCUUUCGCCUCUCCGAGCAAUCAGAGUUUCUUGUUUCUGUCUGCCCCUAACCCUUACCGUCGGUGAGAUUGCGCUGCCGCUCAGUUUAAGGAUCACCCCGAGAAACAGUUCAAAACCCAGCUCCUACGCUUUUGCAAAAUCGCACGCAACUGCUGUACAUAGCUCGAACGCCACUUCAAGUUUUCAUUUGGCGCUCCAAGAAGGAAUAGAAUAAGCAAUAAUCUGCAUAUUGUAGAGGAAAAUAGAAGUUUUAUUUGUGUGUCGAUUAGAUUUCUAAGGAUUUGUGGUUUUUUUAGGGUCUUUCUCAGAACUAGGUAAAAUGGGUGAUCUGGAAACUCAAAGAAUUAGAAACAUAUGUAUAUUAGCACAUGUCGACCAUGGCAAAACGACGCUUGCCGACCAUCUUAUUGCCUCCUCGGGGGGUGGUUUGAUCCACCCGAAGAUGGCGGGCCGCCUCCGUUUCAUGGAUUAUCUUGAUGAGGAACAAAGGAGGGCGAUUACUAUGAAGAGCUCUUCGAUUGGUUUACGGUACAAGGAAUACUCCAUAAACCUCAUUGAUUCGCCUGGCCAUAUGGAUUUUUGCAGUGAAGUGUCGACUGCUGCUAGAUUGAGUGAUGGGGCAUUGGUUUUAGUUGAUGCUGUGGAGGGUGUGCACAUUCAAACCCAUGCUGUUUUGCGACAGGCUUGGAUUGAGAAGCUUACGCCAUGUUUGGUUCUUAAUAAGAUCGAUAGAUUGAUAUGUGAGUUGAAGUUGAGUCCUAUGGAGGCGUAUACUCGUUUGUUGAGGAUUGUUCAUGAAGUUAAUGGGAUAAUGAGUGCGUACAAGUCUGAGAAAUAUUUGUCUGAUGUGGAUUCAAUACUUGCAAGCUCUACAGGUGAGGUAAAUGAUGAGAACCUCGAGUUAAUUGAGGAUGAUGAGGAAGAUACAUUUCAACCCCAGAAAGGGAAUGUUGUGUUUGUGUGUGCGUUAGAUGGGUGGGGAUUUAGCGUUAAUGAGUUCGCUGAGUUUUAUGCUUCAAAGCUUGGGGCAAAUGUAUCUGCAUUGAAGAAGGCCUUGUGGGGUCCUCGGUAUUUUAAUGCAAAGACGAAGAUGAUCGUUGGAAAGAAGGCCUUGGCUGGAGGAAGUAAAGCUCGACCUAUGUUUGUUCAAUUUGUGCUUGAAAGACUUUGGGAAGUUUAUGGGGCUGCUCUAGAAACUGAUGGGAAUAAGGAGGUGCUUCAAAAGGUUAAUAGCACAUUUAAUUUGAAUAUACCAGCUCGAGAACUUUCUAACAAGGAUCCAAAGGUGGUUCUUAAUGCUAUUAUGAGUCGUUGGCUUCCUCUUUCAAAUGCAAUAUUAUCAAUGGUUGUUAACUGUAUGCCUGACCCAAUUGCUGCACAAUCAUUUCGAAUAUCACGGUUGCUUCCAAAGAGGGAUGUCAUUGAUGCUGAAGUCGAUGUCAAUGUGCUAACCGAGGCAGAUCUUGUCAAGAAAUCCAUUGAAACUUGUGAUACGAAGCCUGAGGCUCCAUUUGUUGCUUUUGUAUCCAAGAUGUUUGCAGUGCCAGUUAAAAUGCUUCCAAGGAGGGACGAUCAUGGCGGGACUACUAAUAUUUCAUCUGAUGAUGGUGGCGAUGGUGAAUCAGACGAGUGUUUCCUCGCAUUUGCAAGGAUAUUUAGUGGGGUUCUUUAUUCUGGACAGAGAGUUUUCGUGCUUUCAGCUUUAUAUGACCCAACAAAAGGGGAAUCGAUGCAAAAGCACAUUCAGGAGGUUGAGCUGCAUUCAUUUUAUCUAAUGAUGGGCCAAGGCUUGAAACCAGUGACCUCUGUAAAAGCAGGAAACCUUUUAGCAAUUCGUGGUCUUAGCCAUCACAUACUGAAAAGUGCAACUCUUUCAUCCACAAGAAAUUGCUGGCCUUUCUCAAGUAUGGCAUUCCAGGUUGCGCCAACCCUGAGGGUUGCACUCGAGCCAUCUGAUCCUGGAGACAUAGGUGCCUUAUUGAAAGGCUUAAGGCUUUUAAAUCGAGCAGACCCUUUUGUAGAGGUAACUGUUUCAUCUCGAGGAGAACAUGUACUUGCUGCAGCUGGAGAAGUCCAUCUUGAGAGAUGCAUAAAGGAUUUGAAGGAGAGGUUUGCCAGGGUAAGCUUGGAGGUCUCUCCACCUCUUGUAUCUUAUAAAGAAACAAUUGAAGGCGAGGCAUCUAGUGUGUCGGAUUAUUUUAAAGUGUUACCUGCAAGCACAGAGUGUGUCGUUAGGAAAACCCCAAAUGGUAGAUGUGUUGUCAGAGUGCAGGUACUAAAACUUCCACUUGCUCUAGCUAAAGUACUUGAUGAAAAUUCUGGUGUUCUGGGCGAUAUUAUUGGCGUCAAGUUGGGGCAAAGCUAUAAAAACUUGGAAACCAAGAGAUCAACUUUGAGGGAAAAUGAGAAUCCAGCAGAAACAUUAAAGAAACUCAUAUCAGAUGCAGUGUGUAGCAAUGUAUCGUCGAAGGAUGACAAACAUAAUGCACAGUGGUCAAAGCUUCUUAGGCGAAUUUGGGCACUUGGACCACAGCAGAUUGGUCCUAACAUUCUGAUUAACCCAGAUCCUAAAGUAAAUGAUUCUGAUUGCUCUGUUCUUAUUCGGGGUUCAUCUCAUGCAUCACAGAGACUGGGUUUCGUGGACGGUUCUUCAAAUGAUGAUUUGGAUGCUGAAACAUCGUCGGUAAGUGAUGUUGCUUCUGUAGCAUCAUCAGAAGGAGCUCAGACAUUAAGCAUGGAAGCAGCAUCUCUUGAGAACAGUGUUCUAUCUGGGUUUCAGCUUGCUACAUCAGCCGGGCCCUUAUGUGAUGAACCUCUGUGGGGGUUGGCGUUUAUUGUCGAGGCUUCUAUUUCUUCAUUGCCUGGGAAUUCAGAUGAGUUCGAACCUCCCUUUCAAUCAGAGAAUAAUACUAUCUUUUCCGGGCAAGUUAUGGCAGCUGUAAAGGAUGCCUGUAGAGCAGCUGUACUUCAAAAGAAACCUCGGCUUGUCGAAGCCAUGUACUUCUGUGAAUUGAACACUCCCACCGAGUAUUUGGGUCCAAUGUAUGCUGUACUUGCUCGAAGGCGAGCCCGGGUUUUGAAAGAAGAAAUGCAGGAAGGUUCACCUUUGUUUACUGUGCACGCAUAUGUACCAGUUUCAGAGAGUUUUGGUUUUGCAGAUGAGUUAAGGAGGUGGACUUCAGGAGCUGCAAGUGCUCUUCUAGUGCUUAGCCAUUGGGAAGAACUAUGUGAAGAUCCGUUCUUUGUCCCGAAGACGGAAGAAGAAAUUGAAGAGUUUGGAGAUGGUUCUAGCGUGCUUCCCAACACAGCCAGAAAGCUCAUUGAUACUGUAAGACGGCGUAAGGGUCUUCCUGUGGAAGAAAAAGUUGUGCAGCAUGCAACAAAGCAGAGAACACGUGCUCGAAAAGUAUAGAGAUAGAUCACGUCAUGAUUUGUACGAGUACUAUAAUGCAAUACAUCCUUAGAAUUCAAACCUUUAUGAGAUUCCUGCUUACAUGGGAGAUUUGUAUUCGGCCCGGUCCAUCUGGAGUUCGCUUGGGAAACAACUUUUGGAGGUUGCUCCCUGACAUGGCCAUUCGGGACGUCAUGAAGCUUGGACGACGACACCCUUACCAGCCUGAAAGAGUGGACCAACAGUAAUUACAAUGAUGAUAAGCAAGCAAAUGGGCUUCAUUUGGUUAUAAAUUCCCAGGAUUCUCAAUUCAAGUUCUUGGAUGGAGGAAAAGGGUCCUUGGAAGCUCGCUGCAAAUAUGGUUGUGGCACUUGGAUCUUGUGAAGGUGGCUGCGGAGGUAAGUACAUGUCAUGGCCCUCAUAGCCACUUGAUCUAUAUCAAAAAUUCUCUCUUUAACUUUCUCAACCAUCGAGAACCACCCAGUCUCAAGCCCAAAAAAGAGUCAUUUGGAACCCAUGAGGAGCAUUUAAGUUAUACCAGCGAAAUGUACGUUAAUGUACGUGGUGAGAUCCUACAUCAGUUGAAAAGGGGAACAAAGCAUUUUUA